UCUAUCAAAUCCAGCCAUGUCAAGUGCAGGGAGAGAAGCGAGCUGAGGGUUAAACUAAUCUCAGGAGGGAGAGAGAGGCCGUUAUUUGUGUUCGCAGUGUUUUUGUCAGAUAUCGGGGGUUUCGUAGGAGAGACAUGCUUAAUUUGUGAGCGUUUUCAGGCGCUGAUCUCCCCCCGCGCCGAGGAUAUCCUGCGCUAUGUGUGUUCUGUGUGUGUGAGCCGAGCCGCCGCCGCCGAUCUCCUACAGUAGGGAUAACGGAUCAUCAUCUCAGCGCUGAACCUGCUGCUGCUGCUGCUCCCCGCGGUGGAUGUGACCCAGUAUAGUCCGCGGCUGCGCCGAGAGACGCAUGUGGAGCAGCACCAAUGAUGUCAGGAAAGCAUUACAAGGGCCAUGAAGUCAGCUGCUGCAUCAAAUACUUCAUAUUCGGAUUUAACAUAAUCUUCUGGUUGUUGGGGGUGGCCUUCCUGGGUAUCGGACUGUGGGCAUGGAGUGAGAAGGGUGUGCUCUCAAACAUUUCGUCCAUCACUGACCUUGGUGGGUUCGACCCUGUCUGGCUCUUUCUGGUGGUGGGAGGAGUAAUGUUUAUACUGGGUUUUGCCGGCUGCAUCGGAGCUCUGAGAGAAAACACCUUCCUGCUCAAAUUUUUCUCUGUGUUUCUGGGGAUUAUAUUCUUCCUGGAGCUGACAGCAGGAGUUCUUGCCUUCGUUUUUAAAGACUGGAUCAAAGACCAGCUCAACUUCUUCAUCAACAACAACAUCAGAGCCUACAGAGACGACAUCGACCUCCAGAACCUUAUUGACUUCACUCAGGAAUAUUGGGAGUGCUGUGGAGCGUUUGGAGCCGAUGACUGGAACCUCAACAUCUACUUUAACUGUACAGACAGCAACCCCAGCAGAGAGAAGUGCGGGGUGCCCUUCUCCUGCUGCACCAAGGACCCAGCGGAGGACGUAAUCAACACGCAGUGCGGAUAUGAUGUCCGGGCUAAAUCGAGUGAUGAGCAGAGGACGUACAUACAUGUGAAAGGCUGCGUCCCUCAGUUUGAAAAGUGGUUACAGGACAACCUGACUGUAGUGGCAGGCAUCUUUAUAGGAAUUGCACUUUUACAGAUAUUUGGAAUAUGCCUGGCCCAAAACCUCGUGAGUGAUAUUGAAGCAGUACAGGCGAGCUGGCUGCCACCCCCUUCUUACGCUGUCCGCCGCCCCCCAUCCCACUCCAGCAAGAAAGUGCACUCAUGAGCGAGGUGUGUGCUCACCUGCUUGUUCACCUGAUGUGGCAGCUUCCCAUCGUCCUCUCAAAUAUUUACAGACAGAACUACGCCCGAACUGGAGCGCCAGCAACGCAGCAAGACUCCACAUGCCAAGUUCACUGGAUGGAGUUGUGUGUACAAAUGUGAUCUGUACCAUUAUCUUUUACUAUGUGUAUAUAUGGAUUUUUCUAAAGUGUUUCACAUGUCAAAUACUUGUGUAAGAAAUGUAAAAAAGGGGUGUGGCUAUAUAUGUGUGUCUGUAUAUGUGUGCGUGUGUGUAUGUCAGAUCCAUUGCAAGUGUAUAUGAGUGUGUGUUUACGCACUGCAUGCCUCUCACACUCGCAGUGAGCAUCCCAUAAUACAUUAUUUCUACAGCUUUUCCCACCCUGAUCUCAAUUUGCUGCAUCUGUACUACACUACGCUGCUUUACACAGACAAUAACAAUCAACAGGUCUGCCUGUAGUACAAGUAUAGAAGGAAAGUUCCAAUGACUGUAGAAGACAUUCUAUUUCCUUUUCUUUAACUGAAAUAAAGCCAAAAUGAUUCACCAUGCUGUCAAAUUUGCAGCCAGAUUUGCUAAGCUAAGUAAACAAAACUGUAAUUUAAAAAAAGGAGUGCUAGAUGUUAAUCUACACAGAUUUCUUUCCUAAAAAAAAGACAUUUAUUUAGAGUAAACCUAGAUUUCCAGAUUGCCACGAAGGCAAGGUGUAGCAGCAUUAGCGGCUAAAAAAUACAUUUAUUUAGAGUAAGCCUAGAUUUCCAGAUUGCCACGAAGGCUAGGUGUAGCAGCAUUAGCCACGGUUAGUGCUAGUAAACAGUGCUACACUGAGGAACCCUGAGUGUUCCGGUAAGCCAGGGUGAUAUUAGCUAGCGGUUCAUCCUACAUAGAUUGUUUUAACACUGUAAACAUGCAGGCUACAGUCCGAUAUAUUUGCCUCUGAACAGUGAAAGAGGCACAUUAACCAGGCACUUAGCCUGGUUAAUGUGCAAAUAUGUAUGUCAGAUCCAUUGUAAGUGUAUAUGAGUGUGUGUUUCUGCACUGCAUGCCUCUCAAACUCGCAGUACUGCUGCUACACCUAGCACUUAGCCUGGUUAAUGGGUAAUGCUAAUUCUGCUCCAGCCUCUGUGCUAGCCAGGGUUAGCAGCAGGCUACAGGCCGAUAAUACUCACCUUUAAAUACUUACUCACCGGCGAAAGAAAUAGUGCUUAGCAGCUAAUGCUAAUACUGCUCCAGUCUCUGUGCUGGAGAACUAAUCUGAAACUCCUUUAUACAUAAAGCGCACCGGAUUAGAAGGCGCACUGUAAAUUUUUGGAAAAAAAUUUUAUUGCAUCUUGUAGUGUGAAAAGUACAGUAUUAUCACAGGAUGACUCUAGACGUGAUAAAAUAUGUCAAUGGGCAGUUGUUCAAUUAAAUGUAAUAAUCUUUGAGUAUACAGGACAAUAUAGUAAAAAUCUUGUCCAGCUUUGAUAAAUUGGACAUUCCAGCUAAAGAAAACCGUUGUUAAGAGGCUUACAUUUUUUUUUUUUUUUACAUGUAAAACAAGGUUCUUAACAAAAAUAAAAAUGAUUAUAACAGUUAUAAUUUUAACUAGAAGUCUUAUUCAGUACUAAGUAUAUAUUUUUUGUUUAGAGUUUUGGAAAAUCCUGUAAAAACUUUUUUUUUUUCUCUAUAUUUCAGCAAUGAGUCCAUGAUGUAAUUGGCUCAUAUAUGUUCUAGGUGUGCCAAUAUUACACAAUUAUGAAUCACAGCUUAACAGCUCUUCACGUUUUUUCAAUGCACAUCAUAAAACUCCUAUCAUAAAACGUCAGGCAAGCCUGUCCAUUGUUAUUCAGCUGUGUGCUACAGAUACAGUACUUAGAGACGAGACUAAGAAAAGCUGGCAUAUAUAUUUCUGUUUUGUUUUUUUAUUAUUAAACCUAUUUGGAUGUGUGGAAGUGUGUGGAUGGCCUUGUAUAUGGAAGCAUAACAUUAUGGAGACAUACAUUAUGAAAGGAAACAUGUAAUACAAGAACUUUAAGGGCAGUGUUGGUAAGUAAAUAUUCAUACUCUUGAUUUCAGCUUUUCUUUUCUUUGUUUACUGUUCAAACUCAAUGCAAAUAAUGCAGUGUCAGCUUGUUUCUAUAUAUUUUAAUCCAUUUACAUGCUGUUAACAUGAUGUUAACUAUCGGGGUGCAUUGUGAUGUCUCAGAGGGGUGUAAAUAGUCUGCGUAAAGCAACAGUCUACAAUCUUUUCUGAACAAACACUUUCUUCUACAGAAGUAAAACGAACAGUGACAGUAUUUUUAGUUGGGUUAUAAAGUAAUCAGAAGGAUGUUAGUUCUGAAGUCAGGCGUAGAGAUAUAUAGAUGGCUGUAUAUAUAUUUAGCACAUUCAGGAUGCUGAUCUGAGGUCAGCUGUUUUUAUUCUUCGAGAGCUGUGUAUCAGAUUAACAUGAACUCAUGUUAUAGAAUGCUUUCAACCAGGGUCACAGUAUGCUUUGACAUGUCUAAAACACUUCAGCCUUUGUAGAAGCCACAUAUUUUUAAAAUGAAUUAUUACAGUAGUUUUCUGUGCAUCAUCACUCCUUUGACAAUUUAUUUAAAGCAUUAAACUGAAUAAGUUCAUAAAACAAGAGUGUAAAUCUGUAUUAACGAGAAGGAUGUACAAAUUUGUAUGGAAAAUGUUUUAUUAAAAUAAUGAAGUGUGUUAAAGGAGGGGAGCAGAUGCAGAUAUGGUGAUAAGACUGUUGUUGUUCAUUUGGUCGAAUAAACCAAUGUGCUGACCUGCUGACUUCGUGAAGAACUGUAUUAAUAUUAAAGCUGGAGAAGGGAUCA
This is an RNA transcript of Astyanax mexicanus (Mexican tetra), 4060 nucleotides long. It is a transcript of the gene named tetraspanin 5a, with no coding region annotated. Lineage: Eukaryota; Metazoa; Chordata; Actinopteri; Characiformes; Acestrorhamphidae. The record is from RefSeq and is a predicted model, not a curated record. The transcript is spliced from 11 exons.